AGGCAACGCCUGCCCAGUGAACAAUUAAACGGCCGCGGUACCCUAACCGUGCAAAGGUAGCGUAAUCAUUUGUCUAUUAAUUGUAGACCUGUAUGAAAGGCAUAAUGAGGGCCUAACUGUCUCUUAUAAUAAAUCAAUUAAACUGAUCUUCUAGUACAAAAGCUAGAAUACUAACAUAAGACCAGAAGACCCUGUGAAGCUUUAACAAAACUAUUAAACCUUAUAAUAGCUACUUUAGGUUGGGGCGACCUUGGAAAAAAAAGAAACUUCCAAACNNAUGACUAAAACUCACANUAANNGGCCUACAAGCCNCACAANCGACCCAGCAUAGCUGAUCAUUGAACCAAGUUACUCCAGGGAUAACAGCGCUAUCUUCUUCAAGAGCCCAUAUCAAAAAGAAGGUUUACGACCUCGAUGUUGGAUCAGGACAUCCUAAUGGUGCAAAAGCUAUUAAU
This 455-nucleotide ribosomal RNA is filed under the name Pseudoferania polylepis (Macleay's water snake). RNAcentral's name for it is "partial 16S ribosomal RNA". It matches the Rfam family "Bacterial large subunit ribosomal RNA", at positions 1850 to 2569 of the family's 2925-position model. Lineage: Eukaryota; Metazoa; Chordata; Lepidosauria; Squamata; Homalopsidae. The record is from RNAcentral.